UAAAGAAAAAGAACAGUAGUUAUUUUUCAUUUUUGACUGCGUUGUCUGUACUCUGCGUUAUCUGUGUGAAAGCAGUGAACGUGCUCCAGUGUAUUUAUCUGUUGUGAUAUAGUCAGUGCAAUAUAGAUCAGUAGUAAGUUGCAGUAGAUUCUGAUUAAGUUUGAGCCUCGCUUCGAAACCUGUAAAUUUAAAGCUUCAUUUUGCUGAAAUGACAACUCCACGUAUUUGCGGAGGUAUCAAACCGAUCGAUGAACCAGAUACUCCAGAGCACCAUGAGUUCAUCCGGACUGCACUGGCCUCUUCGAGUGGCAACAGCGAUCGUGGUUACAAAAUUAUUCGAGCAACUCGUCAGGUAGUGGCCGGUACUUUACAUACGUUCCACAUAAAAUUCGAAGACGAUACGUCUGGCGAUGUAUAUAAGAUCACCGCUUGGAGCCGUCCAUGGCUAAAGGAGAAGGACCCGGCAGAGGCACUCAAGAUAACGUUCGCGAAGGAUGUCGAGCAACAGUAAAUGGAAUCUUUAUGCAUUUGGCUUUAAUAUUGAAGAUUAAUGUGAAUUUCGAAUGCCUUUUAA
Molecule: long non-coding RNA, 574 nt
Organism: Wyeomyia smithii (pitcher-plant mosquito)
Lineage: Eukaryota; Metazoa; Arthropoda; Insecta; Diptera; Culicidae
Exons: 2
Source: RefSeq, a predicted model, not a curated record